RNAcentral lists this long non-coding RNA (2417 nucleotides) under Gossypium barbadense (sea-island cotton). RNAcentral describes it as "long non-coding RNA (GBAR_LNC003679)". The record is from RNAcentral. Lineage: Eukaryota; Viridiplantae; Streptophyta; Magnoliopsida; Malvales; Malvaceae.
ACAGCCAUGGGAGAGAGCUUUUAAGCUGGUUUUGCACAAUUUCACUGCAUGUGAGUCUAUUUCUUGCCCUUUUCUUAUAUUUUUUGUAUUUUUAAGACUUUUGCAAUUAGGUCCAAUCAUCUAAUUCAUUAGUUUUUGAUUCGGUGGGUGAAAUUGGAAGUUACCCUGGCUGAGUAAGGGCAGUAUAUGAUGAAUUGUUAUGAAAUUUAAGUUCAAAUUUCAUAUUAAGGUUGUUUUAUUAAGUCAUUUUGAUAGAAAAUGGUAUUUAGGACCUAAUUGUGAAAAAGUUGUGAAUUAGAUGUUGAUGUUGAAAUUAAAAAUAUCAAAGGUUGUGAAUUAGUUUAUAAUGAUAAAAUAAAAGUGUUAAUUGAGAAAAAAAUUAGUUCAAUUGAUGGAUGAAUUGAGCAGGGACUAAAUUGUAAAAACUGUAAAUUUUAGGGUAAAAGUGAAAUUUUGAAAUUUGAACAGCAUAAAUUGUGAAGUGAGAUAGAAAUCAAAUAAAUGCUAAUGAGUAGAAAUAAUUUAUAUUAUAGAUCAAGAGAAACGAGAUUCAAAUCGUGAUCGAGGGAAAAAUAAAGUUUACGAGGAAUAGGCUCGAUUGCUAAUAUUUUAUAUCGAGGUAAGUUCAUAUGAUUUUUAAUAAUGCAAUGUGUAAUUUAAUGUUUUGAAAUGAAAAUUUCAUGAAUGAUAUAGUAUAUUAUUGCAUAUAAAAUGUCAUUAAACUGUGAUAAUUGUAAAAUGAUAUUUGAAUAAAAGUACAAAUUAAAUGGAACAACGGACUUGAGUACUUUCAUUCAGUGGCUAAGACGAAUUGACGGAAAAGACCAUGGUUGGACCAUGGCAGCAUGUGAAAUGUGAUUUUCGUAUAAGACCAUAGCUGGGCUACGGCUUCGGAGAAAUGUGAUAUGUGCUUCCGUAUAAGACCAUAUCCGGGAUAUGGCAUCGGUGUGAUAUGUGCUACUGUAUAAGACCAUAUCUGGGAUAUGGCAUCAGUGUGAUAUGUGAUCCGUGUAAGACCAUGGCUGGGCUAUGGCCCCGGUAUGUGAUAUGUGACUAUGUGCAAGACCAUAGUUUUACUAUGGCAUUGUGAUAAUGAGGUACUCAAUUCCAUAAUCGUUCCCUAAUUUGAUUAUGAACGAAAAUGUAAAAUGGCCCGAAAAGAUUAAGAAUUGGUGAAUACUAUGAAAAUGACACGAUUUGGAAUAAGUUCUUGAUACUUGAUGACAUUGAGAUUAUGGAUCUAUGCUUAUGAAGCAUAAUUAUGUGUUCUUACCAUGAUGGAUGAAAUGAUAUUGUAUGUAUUUAGUGAAUAAUAGUGGUGAAUGGAUAAAUAUGGCCUUGGCAGUUUUGGGUUACUGCAGUAGUGUAUCUUUUGAAAUUCACCAUAAAUUGUGGAAAUUGAGUUAAGGGCUGAAUAAAAUAUGAGAUUAAAUCCUGAUGAGUCAAGUUUCAUAUAGAGGAAACGGUGCAUGCAAUUGGAUUUUAUGUUAUAAGAUAUUUAAAUUGUUGUGAGACAGAGUUUGAAUGACUUCGAGAUCCCCUAUUCUGACUUUAGAAAAUCAUUAGAAAUUGUAAAAAAAAAUAAUUAUGAGUUUUAAUUUAUAUAUUUAAAAUCCUUAUCAAGUCUAUUUUCAAGAGGGAUAGACGGGAACAUCAUCCAAGUCCCGAAUUAUGAGAUAAAUAAUUUUUAGUGAAGAGAGAUCAGAACUGUUAGACAGAGAAACAGAGGAAACUUUAAUGAAUAAACUGUACUAAAUGGCUAAACCAAAAAUUCUGGAAAUUUUAUGGGAGAAAGGUAUAUGAAUCUAGUUUCAAAGAAAAUUAACAGAACUUAAUUUGAAGUUUCGUAGCUCCAGAAAUAAAUUAUUUAGUAAAUGUAUCUCGAUAAAACAGUUUAAGCUGAGUAUGUAUAAUUGUACAAUUGUGGUGUUUUAUCUUAAAAGCAUGUUGGUAAUUGCUUAUUAAUUUCAUAUGGACUUACUAAGCAUUUAUGCUUACUCCCUCCUUUUCAUUCCUUAUAGUUUUGACAAGCCAGCUCGAAAAUCGGGAACGGUCGGAGGCCCACUCACACUAUCCGUAUACCAUCUUGGCAUAAUGGCUUGUAUAUUUUGAGUAUGACAUGUAUAGCAUUAUAAUCAUUUUGUAUAUAUGGUCUUAUGAUAUGGAUAUUGAGUGGUAUGGAAAUGCUUGGUAAUGAUUAGCCAUUGGAAUGGCUAAUCAUGAUCAUAUUUGGUGUUAUGUAUGCUAAAUUGCUAGCUAAUCCAUGGAAACCAUGAAAUAGGCAAAAUUUACCAUAAAAUAGAUUCAAAUGUGAGUUUGAAAAAUCAUUAAAAAUAGUAGAGAUACAAUUAGAUGAUAAAUAAAAUAUAUAAUUGAAGAAUUAUUAGUCUAUCUUCAUAUGGAUGGAACAAAACAGG